RNAcentral lists this small RNA (538 nucleotides) under Pongo abelii (Sumatran orangutan). RNAcentral describes it as "retained intron". Lineage: Eukaryota; Metazoa; Chordata; Mammalia; Primates; Hominidae. The record is from RNAcentral.
UUAUUAUUUUUGCUACUUCUAGAAAAGUCUUUGGAAUAUGGUGAAAAUAUUUGAAUUACGAAUUGUGAUUUCUCCUUUUAGGAAUUUAGUAUUAAAGUUACCCAAAAAGAAAAAGUAAACAUUUAAAAUUAUUUGCUCUUAGGAUUUUUCUUAAUUUGCCAACGUAUCUUUUUUCCCCUCUAAUAGGUGAAAAACCUUUUGAAUGUCCAAAUUGUCAUGAACGAUUUGCUAGAAAUAGCACUCUCAAAUGUCACCUCACUGCAUGCCAAACUGGAGUAGGGGCAAAAAAAGGAAGGAAGAAGCUCUACGAAUGCCAGGUCUGCAACAGUGUGUUUAACAGCUGGGACCAGUUCAAAGAUCACUUGGUAAUACACACUGGAGAUAAACCCAACCAUUGUACUUUAUGUGAUUUGUGGUUUAUGCAAGGAAAUGAAUUAAGGAGGCAUCUCAGUGAUGCUCACAAUAUUUCAGAGCGUCUAGUAACAGAAGAAGUUCUUUCAGUAGAAACACGUGUGCAAACUGAACCUGUAACAUCAAU